ACCCGCGACGAGAAGCCUCUGGACACGGAGACGCACCGGAAUCCGAAGGAAGCGCACGUACCACGCUCGCCGAGAUAAGCUUCCUGCCGCCUCCACCUUUCCACCCACAGCUCGCCGCCGCCUGACACCGGAGACCACCCUCGAAGACCUACUCAUGGCUGUCCUGCUCCGCACCACCAGCUGCGCCGCCGCCACGACCGCCGGCUCCUCCUCGACCCUCCUCGCCACAACCUUCCGCCGCGACCGCCGCCUCCUCCCGUCCCGCGCUUCGCCGGCGCGCCGUGCCUUCACUACCCGCGCCUCGGCCGAACCGCUGGAGGUUUGCGCCAAGGCCUCCAUCACCGUCCCCGACCGCCUCGGCGAUUGUCCUUUCACGCAGAGAGUUUUGUUGACGAUAGAGGAGAAAAACCUGCCUUAUGAAUUAAAACUAGUUGAUCUUGCUAACAAACCAGAUUGGUUAUUUACCAUUAACCCAGAAGGUAAGGUGCCUAUUGUCAAGCUCGAGGACAAAUGGGUUGCUGAUUCUGAUGUUAUAACACAAGUGUUAGAAGAAAAGUAUCCUCAACCAUCCUUGGCAACUCCACCAGAAAAGGCUUCAAUAGGGUCAAAAAUAUUCUCCACAUUCAUUGGCUUUCUCAAGAGCAAAGAUACCAAUGAUGGAACAGAGCAGACACUACUCAGUGAGCUGACUUCUUUUGAUAGCUAUCUAAAAGACAAUGGUCCAUUUAUCAAUGGUGGAACAAUUUCUGCCGCUGAUCUCUCUCUUGCUCCGAAAUUAUAUCACAUGGAGAUUGCUCUAGGUCACUAUAAGAAUUGGUCUGUCCCAGAUGCACUUGCACAUGUGAAAACAUACAUGAAGACUAUUUUCUCAAUGGAUUCAUUUGUCAAUACUCGGGGCCUGCCAGAGGAUGUUAUUGCUGGAUGGCGCUCAAAAGUCAUGGGUUAAGUCACCGCAGUAAAGUAAGACAUCCAGAUAAGAUGAGAGACAAGGCUAUCGGAUGAUGAAGAAUGAAGAGAUUUCCAUGUUCAUGUGUAUAAGCUGCAGACAUUUACUGAAGAAUUUCAGUGUAAAACUUUGAAGACUGAGCUGACAUCAAAGGGACCAGUUAUGGAAUACAUGCCUGAAUUAGUCGUCAGCUGUCACAGUUCUGCACAGAGUAGUGGCAGCCAUCAUUGAGAUGGUGUCCACUAGCCGUUUUGCAGUCCUGAAAGACAUGAAGCAUAACUUGGGCCAGCUUCAACCACACUGGGACGCUUCAUUCGUUGGAUCCCAUGAUUUAGUAUCAAUAUCUUUGUUGAAUACACACAACACAUCACUUUUGGCCUUGCCAAUUUUAUUUUGUGUGAAAUUAUUGAGUCCUUUUCAAUGGUGUUAGUGGAUAUGCCCCCAUUAUCAAGAACAGCGCCGCACACUGUAACACUUCACCGUGUUUAAAAAAUGUUCCAACCGUCUCCGCAUUAUUUUGUCUUCUCAUGACUAUAUCUUGCUACUGACUAUUCUAUGUAUGGUACUGGGUUGUGAGUUGUGACACACACAUAUGUUAUUGCCAGCAUUGCAGUGUUAUAUGCUUGAA
This is an RNA transcript of Hordeum vulgare subsp. vulgare (domesticated barley), 1574 nucleotides long. It is a transcript of the gene named probable glutathione S-transferase DHAR2, chloroplastic, with no coding region annotated. The transcript has 9 exons. The record is from RefSeq and is a predicted model, not a curated record. Lineage: Eukaryota; Viridiplantae; Streptophyta; Magnoliopsida; Poales; Poaceae.